RNAcentral lists this ribosomal RNA (374 nucleotides) under uncultured organism. RNAcentral's name for it is "partial 16S ribosomal RNA". It matches the Rfam family "Bacterial small subunit ribosomal RNA", at positions 527 to 896 of the family's 1533-position model. The record is from RNAcentral.
GUAGGUGGCAAGCGUUGUCCGGAAUUAUUGGGCGUAAAGCGCGCGCAGGUGGGUUCUUUAAGUCUGAUGUGAAAGCCCCCGGGCUCAACCGGGGAGGGUCAUUGGAAACUGGGGAACUUGAGUGCAGGAGAGGAAAGUGGAAUUCCACGUGUAGCGGUGAAAUGCGUAGAUAUGUGGAGGAACACCAGUGGCGAAGGCGACUUUCUGGCCUGUAACUGACACUGAGGCGCGAAAGCGUGGGGAGCAAACAGGAUUAGAUACCCUGGUAGUCCACGCCGUAAACGACGAGUGCUAAGUGUUGGGGGGUUUCCGCCCCUCAGUGCUGCAGCUAACGCAUUAAGCACUCCGCCUGGGGAGUACGGUCGCAAAGACUG